GUAGGGAAUAUUGGGCAAUGGUCGGAAGACUGACCCAGCCAUGCCGCGUGCAGGAAGACGGCCCUCUGGGUUGUAAACUGCUUUUAUCUGGGAAGAAAAAGGCCAUGCGUGGCAAAUUGCCGGUACCAGAUGAAUAAGCACCGGCUAACUCCGUGCCAGCAGCCGCGGUAAUACGGAGGGUGCGAGCGUUGUCCGGCUUUAUUGGGUUUAAAGGGUGCGUAGGCGGCUGAUUAAGUCAGCGGUGAAAGACUUCGGCUUAACCGGAGCAGUGCCGUUGAUACUGGUUGGCUUGAGUGUCGGAGGGGUACAUGGAAUUGAUGGUGUAGCGGUGAAAUGCAUAGAUACCAUCAGGAACACCGAUAGCGAAGGCAUUGUACUGGCCGACAACUGACGCUGAUGCACGAAAGUGUGGGGAUCGAACAGGAUUAGAAACCCGGGUAGUCC
RNAcentral lists this ribosomal RNA (444 nucleotides) under uncultured bacterium. RNAcentral describes it as "partial 16S ribosomal RNA". It matches the Rfam family "Bacterial small subunit ribosomal RNA", at positions 354 to 796 of the family's 1533-position model. The record is from RNAcentral.